ACUAGGGGGAUCAGGAGUGUUAGAGGGCUUUCCCUUCACCGUCCCACUUCCCUGGUUUUUGUCAGGCAGACAGCAAGCAGCAAAAGACCAGAAGUCCAAAGUGCAGACAGUGCAAUGUUUAUUGGGGUUA
Molecule: long non-coding RNA, 130 nt
Organism: Chelonia mydas (Green sea turtle)
Lineage: Eukaryota; Metazoa; Chordata; Testudines; Cheloniidae
Exons: 3
Source: RefSeq, a predicted model, not a curated record